This 237-nucleotide long non-coding RNA is filed under the name Elaeis guineensis (African oil palm). RNAcentral's name for it is "long non-coding RNA (EGUI_LNC065080)". The record is from RNAcentral. Lineage: Eukaryota; Viridiplantae; Streptophyta; Magnoliopsida; Arecales; Arecaceae.
UGUUGAAAUUCAGGGUUUGGUGCAUUUAUGUGUGUUUCAAAACUUAGUUUUCUAAAUAUCACAGUGAAAAAUAAGAUUAAAAUAAUUAUUAUCUGAAUGAUGCAUAUAUAAAAAUAUAAAACCAUAUGGAUCUAUUUCAUAUGCUGAAAUUGAUAUAUGCUGAAAUUCAGAUUGUGAUCAAAUCACAUACCUAUUUUACAAUUUCUUUCUUCAAAACUAGAUCUGAAAGAGAUGAGG